Molecule: long non-coding RNA, 436 nt
Filed under: Helianthus annuus (common sunflower)
Lineage: Eukaryota; Viridiplantae; Streptophyta; Magnoliopsida; Asterales; Asteraceae
Description: sRNA HanXRQr2_Chr17g0827341
Source: RNAcentral
CAUGGCUCUUGCUGCCCGAAUGUCAAUGACGACUUAUAAAGGAAGGUGGACGAUUAAAUUUUGACUCAUUCUCAAAGGAACUAAGUGCCAUUACAAGAAUGUGAGGGGAGUCUCAUGUAUAUAAUGUGUAACUGACGAAGCAUAUUGGAUGGACCAAGAGAUGGCGGUCUUUAUCAAGGGUGAGAAGAUUUCUCUAAGCCGGAGAGUCGAGAAACAUUGGCGAUUGAUCGGCUGGGACAAAUCCAGGCAGGUCUAACUCUUGAAAUGCUUGGAACUAGAGUAUCCUCUUGUAAAAAUAAUUCAAGUAUCUUCAUGUUAUAUAUCACCUAUUUGUGUUAUUAACUCAAAUAUUUAUGAUUAGAGCACUUAAAGUUGUGUUAAAUUGGAUUAGAGGCAGUUUUUGUAUUUGUUAACAGCCGAUUUUGAAUUUUGGCUU